AGGAAAGCAGGUUGUGACACAGGGAUAUAAAAGAGUCAGACUGAACAGACAGUCCUGAGUCAUCCAGCCCAGUCCUCUGACAUCAGCGGCAAACAAGUCAGAUCUUAUGUUAUUUGCAGAUUGAAACUGCUGAACAGACAAGUGGCAAGGAAGAAUUUUGAAGUCAAUCAAAGUAAAAUAAAGAGUUUGGUGAUUUCUGAUUAUAUUCAUCCUCAGCCAUCGAUUAUAUUCAUCCUCAGCCAUCUACUGCUUGUAUUUUUCUUAAAUAUUCCUGAGACUAAUGCCUUCCUGCUCAGAGAGAUGAAAUCUUCACCCAUGUCUUUAUCAUCACCAUCUUUAACAAUGGUCAACUUCUGUUCUUUAACUUAUCUAAGGCUUGGUCACAUACAGCUGCAGUAGGUGAAAUUCCAUCCUUACCACUACUGUUAGAGUCAAACCUUCCCUGAAUUCUUCCACUAAGUUAUCAUUUAGAGUGCUAGAGAAGCUUGCUUUUUCUUCACAGUGUUAAAGGACAAAUUCAAAUCCACAUUUUGAUUUUUUUUUUUUUUUUUCUCUCUCAACCUAUGAUGAUUUGCUUUCAUAACAUCUUUGCUGUGGAGAUAUACAUUUGUAACAUUAUUCUUCUAGAAUUUACAGUGAUGAUGUUAAUUGAAAUGUUCUCUUUCAGCAGCCUGAAAACCUUAUUUUUCCUCAUUCAGCUCCAUUCUCAAUACUUAACCCUGUUUUUAGUUAUCUCCCUUUGAGGAGGAAGACUAAUUUGUGAUUGAGAAUUCAUUGUUACAAUUAUCUUUUUAUUAUUAUUUUUAUUAUUUUUUAUUAUUAUUUUGAAAUGCAUUGUGAUGAUGGUCAUGAUAUACGUGUCUUAGGUUGACUCCACAGUAUUAUUACUGUUUAUUGCUUCUGUCAUCUUUGAUUUCCCUUUCUGUUGCAGCUUUCACUUGUUGAAGCUUGUCUUAAUUUCAGACCCGUAUUCUACGACUUACACAUCUGCUUACCUUUAGUCAUCUGCGUAUUCCCAUUGAUUCCAGUGAGAAUACAUGCAUACUUUAAAUUAAGCACACGUGCAAGAUUUUUUGAAUUAAAUCAUGGGAAAUAAAGUCUACUUGUUAUUUUUACUAGAUUCAACAGCUAGUGGCUUCUGCAGUUGGCUAAACCUGCAGAGAUUUAAAAGCCAUUGUUACUGAAGAAGACAGUAGGCCUAAAAUCAGUAAGAUUCGAGAAAAGGUCUUGACAAUAUUAAGAAGGUAAUUUUUUUAUAACAAUAGUAGUGGUGUGAGCUUUCAUAGUAAGAGUUGUUCCAAGACAGUAGACCUGGCAAAAACCCAACAUUUUAUUCUCUCUUCUAGAGGUAAUAUUCAGAUCAGAUACAGUUUUCCUCCUUUACAUAAAUCAGUGUUAUCAAAAUUAUGAGGCCAGAGAGUAGGGGAAAUAGUAGUUUGUUACUUUUGAUGGGAAACACCCCCAGUGUAACUAGUGCUGGGUUGUUUGGUAAUCAUAUAGGACUUCUGAUUUUACAUUGCCUGGAAAACAAGCACCUGAAGGACACUAGAAGUUUCUGAGUAAACUUCAGGUGAUUUUUUAAUUAUUAUUAUUAUUAUUAUUAAUUUUUUUUUUUGUAUAUUUGCUUCAUAUUUAAGCUGUUACAAUGAGGACUGGAAACUCUCAAAUUUCAGUCUGCAUUAAGUGGCUUUGUAACUGCACUUCAAUUAAGAAAUAGACUUUAUAAAUGAUUGUCAUAUAAAUCAAAUUCCCUGUGAUCUGUAAAAUUAUUUGAAUGAAUUUAAACCAUUAAAAUUACAAUCAUUAACAUGAUUUGAAAAGAUAUAUACAAAGUCUUUUAUAUAUAUUUAUAAAUAUACUUUUUUUUUUCUCUGCUAAUACAUGCUGGUAGCAACUUAGUGAUAUAUGAGACAAAAUGAAAACUGUGGGAAGAUAAUCCAAUGACUACACUAAAACAUGUUAUUCUGGCACAUCAUAAACAGAGGUCUCAAAGUAUUAACAAUCCCAAGGGACAGAAAUUCUGGGCUACCACCAUCUCUGCAGCUCUGUAGCUAACAUUUGCAUUAUUUACUCAGCCAGGAAAACCUCUCUGAAAGAGCAGGAUCAGAGGGCAACUCAGAUAAGGGCAGAUGUGAAGAGGUGGGAGGUGGAGUCCUGCACAAGGCUCAUUGCACAGAACUUUCCCCAGGGGGCUGCUCUGGUGCCCAGGGGCUGAGGAAAGAGUCCCUGCAGCUCUGGGACCCUGUCAGGAAUAGAAACCCAAAAGCCAAAGGAAAAGAUAGAUAACAAAACAAAACAAAACAAACAAACAAACAACAAAAAAAAAAACAGAGUUAGUGAGAAAAUUUAACCUAGCAUUUCCUGGCAGUGUCUCCUGAAGAGAGACCUUCAGUCAGAGUCGUUUGGCUGCACAGAUGUAUAUCAUGUGACCUCAGCCUUGGAAAUCUGUAAAUUAGAUAAGCUAAUUCAUUUCUCUGCUAAUUUAGAAUUAUGUCUUUGAGGAUGCAUAAUUUGCAGAUUUUCUUCCUAUGAUCUAUUUUUAACAAUUAUUUUACAUUUUAGAGAAAAAUAUUUCCUCCUUUUCUACCUUUGAGCUGUUAGUAUAAAAUAACCAUUGUUAAGGCAGGUGGUCACAAAAACCCACAGGAGCAAAUGUGCUGCAGAUCCAAGGCCACUAUCCAGUAUCUCUGAUAUUUUACAGGCAGGGCAAUAAUGACUAGCAUGAUCUGCUCCCUCUCCAGCAUGUAUUUAUAUUUGCCAUGUAGUAACAUACAUUUUUUAUUUUUCUGUGAAUAUAACACUAUCUGCAAACCAUCUUUGUUCUCUCUGAAAUGUUCUAAACAUUGACAAAGAAACAAACAAACACAAAAUGCAUGCCAAAACAAACUGACUUAUGGUACAGAGAAAGCAAAUAAGCUCAUGUCCAUAGAGAUCUCUUUUAUUACUUUUUUUUUUUUUUUUAAUGCUACGUGUCUCUUCUCAGUUAUGAAGGAAUAAGAAUCACCUCAUGUCCCAGUAGAUUAGGGAAGAAUGAAGUGAUGUGCUUAUCCCAAAUGUCGAAUAUGUGAAGAGGUGGAGCAUGGCUGUGUUGUUACCAGCUUUGUUUUUACAGGAGUACGUGGUGUUUGGAGAGUUUUCUUCUACACCGCAGCACUCAUUUAUGUCAUGUAUGAGGGGAGAGCAAUUGCUUGACUACAAACAAAUAUAUUAGGUAGUACCUGAAAGUAUUCAGCUGUUUUGGACAGUGUCUGGAGCCUACCUCUUCAUAAAACUCAUCUUUAUCAAGGCCCGGGAAUCUCCCUUUGUAGUGUAUCCUAGAAACUGUCUGUAAGCCAAGACAUUCAGAACAACCAAGAGUAUGAAAAGGCAGUUAAAGGUGCACAUGAUAUGCAUGCAGGCUGUAUGGGGAGCAUUUGAAGGAACUGAAAGACUUGGCAGAAAAAAAGCAUCUUGCCCCAAAUUAAGGGUACAUGGGAGGCUUUUUUAACCUUCGCUCUGGCCAUUUGCACACAAUUUUAUGUUAUUAUUUACUACAUGAUUGAACCAAAAUUUGAAUUUGCCAUAGCAACCCAGGCUUCAAAUGGGGCAUAGGUUGCUUUCCAAAAUUACAGCACCUCCUUAAAAAGGAGCAAAGAAUAGUGCACUAUGUAAUCUGAGCUCUUGCAAAAUGUUAUUAGCAAAAUAUGGUUUUAAUAAACAACACGUUUUCCC
Molecule: long non-coding RNA, 3711 nt
Filed under: Cairina moschata (Muscovy duck)
Lineage: Eukaryota; Metazoa; Chordata; Aves; Anseriformes; Anatidae
Description: domestica (muscovy Duck (domestic type)) lncRNA (ENSCMMG00000008077.1)
Source: RNAcentral